Molecule: long non-coding RNA, 980 nt
Organism: Xyrauchen texanus (razorback sucker)
Lineage: Eukaryota; Metazoa; Chordata; Actinopteri; Cypriniformes; Catostomidae
Exons: 3
Source: RefSeq, a predicted model, not a curated record
GUUUUUUUUUUGUGGUUGGAAGCGUAAAUUUUACAAAGAACAUUUAUUUUUAUAGAGUUUCCAUUUGCAGAACAUUACCUACUGUUCUGACCAGCUUAAGGGUCUGCUACAAUGAACAAGGAGGAAAUAUCGAAAUUAUUCCAUAUUCAUGACUGGAAAAAUUAAAACAUUUCUGUGAAAAAUGUUUUAGAAGUAUCUUGAAAGUAAAGUAAUUGGUCCUUGAGGUGGUAUAGUGACUCGCCUCAAUCCGGUUGGCGGAGGACGAAUCUCAGUUGCCUCCGCGUCUGAGAUCAUCAACCUGCAGCAUCUUAUCACGUGGCUUGUUGAGCGCGUUACCGCAGAGACAUAGCGUGUGUGGAGGCUUCACGCUAAACUCACCAUGUGCCCCACCAAGAACCAUAUUAUAACUACCACGAAGAGGUUACCCCAUGUGACUCUACCCUCCCUAGCAACCGGGCCAAUUUGGUUGCUUAGGAGACCUGGCUGGAGUCACUCAGCACGCCCUGGGUUCGAACUUGUGACUCCAGGGGUGGUAGUAACUUCUUUUCUUUUUUUACUUUGAGAAGAAAACAGACAUUUUUAUAAAUAUAAUACACAUAACGUGAUUGCAAUAAAGUAAUCGGUGAUGUAACCUGAUUGCACUUUUAGAUUAAUAAUCAGUCAUUUGUAGUAGAUAACUUUGAGUAGCCUAAUUUACCAUACAUACAUACAUACACUGCUAUCUAUAAUGACAAUUGUCUAUUGAGUUUACAACCGUCCCUGAUAGUAUUAUUACUAUAGUAAUAGAAAGUAUUACUACUAAUAGUAUUAUAGUAUUAAAUACUAUGCAAAUAAAUGUAAUAUUUUCUUGGAAAUCUUUCAUCUUUCCAACUAUUUGCAUGACCUUUAACCUAUCUGAUCAGCAUUAUAUAAUGUAAUGUAAUCAAUAAAAGUGUUCACUAGGAGUUACCAAGAAAAUAAAGCUUUUCGCCUUCCCUGGG